Molecule: ribosomal RNA, 320 nt
Filed under: uncultured Citrobacter sp.
Lineage: Bacteria; Pseudomonadati; Pseudomonadota; Gammaproteobacteria; Enterobacterales; Enterobacteriaceae
Description: bacterial SSU rRNA
Rfam family: Bacterial small subunit ribosomal RNA
Source: RNAcentral
CCCGCCGCCCCCGCCCGGGCACAAGCGGUGGAGCAUGUGGUUUAAUUCGAUGCAACGCGAAGAACCUUACCUACUCUUGACAUCCACGGAAUUUAGCAGAGAUGCUUUAGUGCCUUCGGGAACCGUGAGACAGGUGCUGCAUGGCUGUCGUCAGCUCGUGUUGUGAAAUGUUGGGUUAAGUCCCGCAACGAGCGCAACCCUUAUCCUUUGUUGCCAGCGAUUCGGUCGGGAACUCAAAGGAGACUGCCAGUGAUAAACUGGAGGAAGGUGGGGAUGACGUCAAGUCAUCAUGGCCCUUACGAGUAGGGCUACACACGUGC